ACAUACGAUCAUACCCACUGGAAAACUCGGGAUCCCGUUCGCUCUCCCAUAGCUCCCAUAGAUAAGCCAGCCAGUGAGGGACAGAGUAGUAGUCGGGUCGGUGACGACCGGCGAAUGCCUGUUGUUGUAUGUU
RNAcentral lists this ribosomal RNA (133 nucleotides) under Colletotrichum fructicola Nara gc5. Lineage: Eukaryota; Fungi; Ascomycota; Sordariomycetes; Glomerellales; Glomerellaceae. The record is from RNAcentral.